Zonotrichia albicollis (white-throated sparrow) is the source of this 3447-nucleotide non-coding RNA. Lineage: Eukaryota; Metazoa; Chordata; Aves; Passeriformes; Passerellidae. The record is from RefSeq and is a predicted model, not a curated record.
CGCCCGUGAGGGCAGCGCCGCGCCAAGAUGGCGGCGCGCUGCCAGUACUCAGCAUGGCGCCGGGGCCCGCGGAUGCUGCUGAAAGUGAAGAUAGGGAUAAAACCCCCAGAGUCCACAAUACAGACAUUUAAGUGUAAGUACUGGAAAAUACCUGUGUAAAAUUCUGUGUAAGAGUUAAUGGGAAAAGGCAGUGAGGAACUGCAAGAAUGAAUUGGCUGCUUGUGAGUCACAAGGUACCAGCUGCUGGAUUUGGAUGAAAAAUAGGAAGUAAGAAGUAUCACGUGUGCUCAACCCAAACAAGCAGCUGACUGAGGCUUUUGGGAAGAAAUUUAUGUCUAAUUAGCUGUCAAUCAGUUUUUACAAGCAACUGGUUUCUCUGGAAACCAAAUGUUAAGCUGUUUGGAUUGAUAAAAGACAAAAGGUUUCUUGUGUCUAGAGUAGAGUGAAAUAAGCAAGAAAUUAAUCUCCAUUAAAAAAACCCAUAAAGCAUAUGUUUUAUUAUUGUUACUAACUGCAAAAAUAUCAGCAGCUCUCUACUUCUGCAGUUCUUCAAAGGUCACACCAGGAUAACCUGGUAUGACUUAAUUUAAUUAUGAAGUUACAGAGAAAUUUUUUCAGCCAUGGGAAAUAUCACAUACAUACACAAUCCAGAUAAAUAUGGCAAGGAUCCCUGUAGGCUUCUGCUAUCCAUUAAUGAUUCUUACAGCAUUUUUUCUAAAAUCUGGGGGUUUUACACCAGCUCUUUCAAGUAGGUGAGUGCUGUUAUGCCUUCCAAUAGACAAAGGAAGAAGGAAUAUUUUGAAAGCCUGAUGCUGGACCUAAAGAACAGCAUGAAUUCCAAUCCACUGCUGCAGAAACAAAAACCAUUUUCCAAAAUAAACAAUUCAGGAAUAUGUGAUUGUUUGUGGACUUCUUCCUCAACAAUGUAAAAAUAGAUUCUGUGGAAGUGUUUAUGUUCUAUUUGUGUAGCAAACAGACUUGUAACUUUUAAGUCAUUGACCUAAACCCAAGAACAUGCAAAUAAAACAGAACUGGCCUUUAUUUUGAAUUAGUUUGACAUGUGUGUAAUUGUGGUGCUUUUUCCUAUUUCAGACCAUUUCCCUAAAUAUUUUUUUCUAACUCCUUAUUUUUUUUUUCUGCCCUAAAGUCUUAAGAAUUCAGCUAUGCAAUAAGCAUGUGAUCUGACUGACAUGCCAGGAUAAAUUCCAGAGUGCUUGCUUGGAGGCAGCCACCAAAUGCUUUGGCUGGAGAAUUGGCUGGGAGUGCUGUUAGAAAUGAGCUGAUGCCACAGAAGGAGCCUGUGCUGGGCCUGCCCUGGGUGGAACAGGGCACAGAUUUCAUGGAUCCAUGUUCAUUCAGCCAGGAGUUACUGCCCAGCUCUGCCAGCUGGGGAGUGCCAUGAGCUGGCACAGCCAUGCACAGCCUGCAGCACUUUGCUGUUCUCACAGGGAAAUUCUUAUUUCUCCAUUUCAUUCAGGGUGUAAAUGCUUCAGGUGCAGGGAUAAAUGUUACAUGGAGGCCAAACACAUCAACAACAGUGGCCAUAAAAGAAGUGAUGCCUUUAGGUGCUGCCUACAGCUGGCAUAGGAAAGCUUUUAGAGAGUGCAAAGGUGGUGUCACCAUGCCCAGAUUAAGUGUCACCAUGCCCAGAUUAAAGCAGGAUGCUGUUUCUUGUCUCAGGUUAUCAGGCACACUGUGAGGGUUGAUCAAAGAUCCACUGUUCUGUGGGAGAAUGGAAAGCACAGAGUGCUCUUGGCAAUAAAAUAAAUGAGACAUCUAAUUAUCUAAUGAUUUCAAAAAUACAACCUUGUACUGUGCACUGAAACAGAGAUUCCUUGCACACACUUCAGUUUGUAGAAGUUUUAGCUCUUUUUGUUUGAAUUUUGAAAUGGAAAUAAAUUCAGUCCAAGUAUUCCUAAGAUGAAGGAUGAAAUAGGGAUACUUUAGGUGUCCUCAAUAUUCUUGCAAAAUGCUUCCAUUUCUAUGCAGUUUUUCAUUGUGAAUACAAGAAAUAGGGGGGAAAUUCAGUCUUUGCCCUUUGCUGAUGUGCAGAAGAAUGUGUUUAAUCCAAUCCAUUUACAGAUUACUUGGUUCACCAGGGAUUCCCAUCCCUGGAAAUUCAAGGCCAGGCUGGACAGGGCUUGGAGCAGCCUGGUCUGGUGCAAGGGGGGUUUGGACUAAAUGACCUUCAAAGGUCCAUUCCAACCCAAACCACUCUGUGAUUCUGUGAAAUAAAAAUAUAUUUUAAAUAUGAUCUGUGCAGUUACAGAAAUAUCCAAAACUGGCAUGUCUUUUGAAGAAUCACUUUAUCAGUUUUGGAUAAUAAAUGUAAGUAUAAUCAGAGUGUGAAACAGGAAGAUUUUAGCUGUGCUUUUAAGUACAAAUCUCAACACAUUUCUAAAUUAGAACUUCCCAUCUGUCCUGUCACCUUAUUGGCCAGUGCAGCUAUAGCUGUUGCAUCCUGGUAGAAUAAGGUGCUUUUCUUGUAUGAAAAUACUCAUCCACAGAACAAAAAAGAUGUCAGAUAAUGCUGCAUUCCAGCAAGUCUGUAGGAAAUGGGAAUUCUUAGAUCACAUAGGAAUUGCUCAGUGGUUGUGAUGCUUUUAAAAAGCUUGGGCUAAUACACGAAUAAAAAAUGUGAGAGUAUUUUGAAUGAAGAGAGCAGAGGCACAGAAAAUUAUUACCAAAGCUAUUACAAUUUUUACCUCAAGCCAGGAUUACUGAUAUUUUUCCAGGGUAUAUGUAAAGCAGCAUCAGCUUACUUUUCUUUAAGUGGUAAGUAUGAAAACAUUUCUGUUUUCUUUCAUCAGGGUUAAGCUAAAGAAUUCUUGAUUUCUCUGACCUCAGUGAUAACUCACCUAUAGUCUGCAAAUUAAAAAAUAAUUCUAAAAAAGCACAACAUUCUUCUCUGGGGUUAUCUUUGGAACAAGUGUUUAAAGUUGUGGUUUUGGGUAACAAACAUCUGGCUGUGCCUGUUUCCAGCCCUUGUGCUCAAAACCCAUCUGUGGCUUAAAGCACUGUAACAGGAGGGGAUUUACCCAGUGCUACAGAAAAGUUACAGUUAAGGCAGGAAAUUGCAUGUUUUUCGGAAGUUCUGUGGUUUAAUUUAUAAAACGUCAUUUUACACUUGAAAAACUUCUCUGUGUAGGCGUUUGCUUGUACUUGUGUGUUCAUAUGGCUGGGGGUUAAAAAAGGAGCAAAAUCUUGAUUGAACCUUUGUGUCUAAAUCCUACCUGAGGUUGAGAAACACAAGAAAUCGUAAAAAUUCUCAAUUAAUACUCCAGGGCCUUUGAGACUGGAAGGCUGAUAUCUGUUCAAUAAUCCUGUUCAUGAGGAUUUGUGAUUCCUGCCUGGGAACAGCAUUGCUGCUACUUGUGUUUUAUUACAGGAAUGGGAAACCGCAGCAUAUCGCUUAAAUAAAAUGGUGAUGAUGCUGUAUUUAAUAAA